GACGAACGCUGGCGGCGUGCCUAAUACAUGCAAGUAGAACGCACAGUUUAUACCGUAGCUUGCUACACCAUAAACUGUGAGUUGCGAACGGGUGAGUAACGCGUAGGUAACCUGCCUGGUAGCGGGGGAUAACUAUUGGAAACGAUAGCUAAUACCGCAUAAUAUUGAUUAUUGCAUGAUAAUUGAUUGAAAGAUGCUAUUGCAUCACUACCAGAUGGACCUGCGUUGUAUUAGCUAGUAGGUGAGGUAACGGCUCACCUAGGCGACGAUACAUAGCCGACCUGAGAGGGUGAUCGGCCACACUGGGACUGAGACACGGCCCAGACUCCUACGGGAGGCAGCAGUAGGGAAUCUUCGGCAAUGGACGAAAGUCUGACCGAGCAACGCCGCGUGAGUGAAGAAGGGUUUCGGAUCGGAAAGCUCUGUUGUAAGAGAAGAACGGGUGUGAGAGUGGAAAGUUCACACUGUGACGGUAGCUUACCAGAAAGGGACGGCUAACUACGUG
RNAcentral lists this ribosomal RNA (505 nucleotides) under uncultured bacterium. RNAcentral describes it as "partial 16S ribosomal RNA". It matches the Rfam family "Bacterial small subunit ribosomal RNA", at positions 28 to 507 of the family's 1533-position model. The record is from RNAcentral.